ACCGUAGUAAUUCUAGAGCUAAUACAUGCAAAGAAUCCCGACUGGUGACGGAAGGGAUGUAUUUAUUAGGUCCAAAAUCAAUACGGCUAGGAAAAAUUGAUGAUUCAUAAUAACUAAACGAAGCGCAGGACUUGCUCCGGCGCUGAUACAAACGAGUUUCUGCCCUAUCAACUUUCGAUGGUAGUAUAGGGGACUACCAUGGUCGUAACGGGUAACGGGGAAUUAGGGUUCUAUUCCGUAGAGGGAGCCUGAGAAAUGGCUACCACUUCCAAGGAAGGCAGCAGGCGCGCAAAUUACCCAAUCCUGAUUCGGGGAGGUAGUGACAAGAAAUACCAUUGUCGGACACUUUGUGUACGAUAUUUGGAAUGAGUACAAUUUAAACACCUUAACGAGGAACAAUUGGAGGGCAAGUCUGGUGCCAGCAGCCGCGGUAAUUCCAGCUCCAAUAGUGUAUAUUAAAGUUGCUGCGGUUAAAAAGCUCGUAGUUGGAUUUCGGAAUGCGUUGGGCCAAAGCCCGUCCUUGUGGCGUGGCUGGGUCUAUGCUUCCUUCUUUUGGAUAGUGCUUUAUUGUGCUUCCAAUGAUUUACUUUGAAAAAAUUAGAGUGUUCAAAGCAGGCGUAACCUUGCCAUUGAAUAUUACAGCAUGGGAUAAUAGAAUAUGACAUUGGUCUUAUUUUGUUGGUUUCUAAGGCUGAUGUAAUGAUUAAUAGGGAUAGUUGGGGUCGCUCGUAUUGAGUUGUCAGAGGUGAAAUUCUAAGAUUUACUCAAGACGAACUAAUGCGAAAGCAUUCGACAAGGAUGUUUUCAUUAAUCAAGAACGAAAGUUGGGGGAUCGAAGAUGAUCAGAUACCGUCGUAGUCUCAACCAUAAACUAUGUGGACCAAGGAUCCGAGGACGUUACAUGGAUGACUCUCCGGGCACUUUGUGAGAAAUCAUAAGUAUUUGCAUUCCGGGGGGAGUAUGGUCGCAAGGCUGAAACUUAAAGGAAUUGACGGACGGGCACCACCAGGAGUGGAACCUGCGGCUUAAUUUGACCCAACACGGGGAAACUUACCAGGUCCGGACACUAUGAGGAUUGACAGAUUGAGAGCCCUUUCUUGAUUUAGUGGGUGGUGGUGCAUGGCCGUUUUUAGUUGGUGGAGUGAUUUGUCUGGUUAAUACCGUUAACGAACGAGACCUUAACCUAUUAAUUAGUGACGCGAAUCUGGUGGCAACAUCAAUACGAUUCGUGGUUAGCACUUCUUAGAGGGACUCUCGGCAUAUUCUAGCCGAUGGAAGUUUGAGGCAAAAACAGGUCUGUGAUGCCCUUAGAUGCCCUGGGCUGCACGCGCGUUACACUGACAAUUGCAACGAGUGAUUUUCCUUGCCCGAUGGGGCUGGGUAAGCUUUUAAAAGAUUGUCGUGAUGGGGAUUGAACCUUGCAAUUAUUGUUCAUGAACGAGGAAUUCCUAGUAGGCGCAGUUCAUCAAACUGUGCCGAUUACGUCCCUGCCCUUUGUACACACCGCCCGUCGCUCCUACCGAUUGAGUGGUCCGGUGAGGACUCAGGACGGCAGUAUUUUAGUUUAUCCGCAAGGGUAAGCGGAUACAGCCGGAAUUUGUUCAAACCCUACCAUUUAGAGGAAGGAGAAGUCGUAACAAGGUU
RNAcentral lists this ribosomal RNA (1644 nucleotides) under metagenome. Its description in RNAcentral is "SSU rRNA". It matches the Rfam family "Eukaryotic small subunit ribosomal RNA". The record is from RNAcentral.